RNAcentral lists this ribosomal RNA (433 nucleotides) under uncultured bacterium. RNAcentral's name for it is "partial 16S ribosomal RNA". It matches the Rfam family "Bacterial small subunit ribosomal RNA", at positions 29 to 507 of the family's 1533-position model. The record is from RNAcentral.
AACGAACGCUGGCGGCAUGCCUAACACAUGCAAGUCGAACGAGACCUUCGGGUCUAGUGGCGCACGGGUGCGUAACGCGUGGGAACCUGCCCUUAGGUUCGGAAUAACUCCCCGAAAGGGGUGCUAAUACCGGAUAAUGUCUUCGGACCAAAGAUUUAGCGCCUUUGGAUGGGCCCGCGUUGGAUUAGCUAGUUGGGAGGGUAAAAGCCUACCAAGGCGACGAUCCAUAACUGGUCUGCGAGGCUGAUCAGCCACACUGGGACUGAGACACGGCCCAGAAUCCUGCGGGAGGCAGCAGUGGGGAAUAUUGGACAAUCGGCGAAAGCCUGAUCCAGCAAUGCCGCGUGAGUGAUGAAGGCCUUAGGGUUGUAAAGCUCUUUUACCCGGGAUGAUAAUGACAGUACCGGGAGAAUAAGCUCCGGCUAACUCCGUG